RNAcentral lists this ribosomal RNA (394 nucleotides) under uncultured bacterium. Its description in RNAcentral is "partial 16S ribosomal RNA". It matches the Rfam family "Bacterial small subunit ribosomal RNA", at positions 523 to 918 of the family's 1533-position model. The record is from RNAcentral.
AUACGUAGGGGACGAGCGUUGUCCGGAAUUACUGGGCGUAAAGGGCGCGCAGGCGGAUAUUUAAGUCAGCUGUAAAAGGCAUGAGCUCAACUCAUGUAUGCGGUUGAAACUGGGUAUCUAGAGUGCUGGAGAGGUAGGCGGAAUUCCCGGUGUAGCGGUGAAAUGCGUCGAUAUCGGGAAGAACACCAGUGGCAAAGGCGGCUUUCUGGUAGGCAACGGGCGCCUGGGCGCGAAAGCCAGGGGAGCGAAAGGGAUUUACUACCCCGGUAGUCCGUGCCGUAAACGAUGAAUGCUAGGUGUUGGUGUUGCGAGGCAUCCGUGCCGGAGCUAACGCGAUUAGCAUUCCGGCUGGGGAGUACGAUCGCAAGAUUGAUACUCAAAUGAAUUGUCGGGG